RNAcentral lists this ribosomal RNA (588 nucleotides) under uncultured bacterium. Its description in RNAcentral is "bacterial SSU rRNA". It matches the Rfam family "Bacterial small subunit ribosomal RNA", at positions 102 to 677 of the family's 1533-position model. The record is from RNAcentral.
ACGGGUGAGUAACACGUAGGUAACCUGCCUAUGAGACUGGGAUAACUAUCGGAAACGAUAGCUAAGACCGGAUAACUGGUUUUCUCGCAUGAGAGAAUCAUGAAACACGGAGCAAUCUGUGGCUUAUAGAUGGGCCUGCGGCGCAUUAGCUAGUUGGUAGGGUAAUGGCCUACCAAGGCGACGAUGCGUAGCCGACCUGAGAGGGUGACCGGCCACACUGGGACUGAGACACGGCCCAGACUCCUACGGGAGGCAGCAGUAGGGAAUCUUCCGCAAUGGACGCAAGUCUGACGGAGCAACGCCGCGUGAGUGAUGAAGGUUUUCGGAUCGUAAAGCUCUGUUGCCCUAGACGAACAGCAUGAGGAGUAACUGCCUUGUGUGUGACGGUAUAGGAGAAGAAAGCCCCGGCUAACUACGUGCCAGCAGCCGCGGUAAUACGUAGGGGGCAAGCGUUGUCCGGAAUUAUUGGGCGUAAAGCGCGCGCAGGCGGUUAAUUAAGUUGGGUGUUUAAGCCCGGGGCUCAACCCCGGUUCGCAUCCAAAACUGGUUGACUUGAGUGUAGGAGAGGAAAGUGGAAUUCCACGUGUA